RNAcentral lists this transfer RNA (76 nucleotides) under Acidithiobacillus thiooxidans. Its description in RNAcentral is "tRNA-Met". It matches the Rfam family "tRNA". From Rfam's summary of the family: Transfer RNA (tRNA) molecules are approximately 80 nucleotides in length. Their secondary structure includes four short double-helical elements and three loops (D, anti-codon, and T loops). The record is from RNAcentral. Lineage: Bacteria; Pseudomonadati; Pseudomonadota; Acidithiobacillia; Acidithiobacillales; Acidithiobacillaceae.
GGACAAUUAGCUCAGUUGGAAGAGCGAGGGACUCAUAAGCCCUAGGUCGCCGGUUCGAUCCCGGCAUUGUCCACCA